RNAcentral lists this long non-coding RNA (1017 nucleotides) under Gallus gallus (chicken). RNAcentral's name for it is "lncRNA (ENSGALG00010010391.1)". Lineage: Eukaryota; Metazoa; Chordata; Aves; Galliformes; Phasianidae. The record is from RNAcentral.
GGCGUUCUGCCGAGCAGCGCAGCGCCUCAGCGAAUGGCAGAUGUGUGCGUUUCGGAUCAGUCCUGCCGAUGAACUAAGGACUGCUGUUAAUCAGAAAGGAAAGCGUAAUUACCUACAGAGACGUGUGGCUGGCAAGUGGAAGAAUCCUUCUGUUUGUAGACAACUGCAGUUUCACUCCAGUACCCUGCAUAAAGAGAAGAAAAAAAAGCCAGUUUACAAUCGUGACCUUGGAACUGAGAAGUAGGCAGUAAAAAUGGGCGUGCCUCCCUCUGCUGGCUUCUCCUGUUGCACCUGGAGCCUCUGGCAGGAUUUGAGUCUGCAGGCAUUUACAACAGCACUUGUGUUUCUCUUCAUCUCUUCAGUUGUUGUCCUGAGAAAAUCCUUGCUUUCAGUAUUUAUGUACUCCUCGGACACAAAUCCAGGGUUAAAUUUCUUCUACUCAGUUCUAGCUUCAAGAUAUGUUCUGCUUAUUAGAGUGGAAAACGAAGAUGCUGUUCCAUCACUUCAACAAUAAGGUAGCAGAAAGAAUGCAAUAUGCUAUCAAUUGCACAAUGCUAUAUGAAGGCAGUGCUUUUAAAAACCCACCUCUGUAAUUGUAUCAUACCCCAGAGAGUAAAAUCAGAUCUCUGGGUUGCAUCACUACAAAAGUUACUGCAGGACGCAAGAAAAGUACAGCAUGGGAUUAGGCAGAGGUGUUGGGAAAUAAGGCUAUCUAAUAAUGCAUGGAUAAUUCGUUGUGGAGUAUGAAAAAUGCUGUGGUGAGUCUAUGUGGAAUGACAAGGAAAGGCGAGAACCUGCCUACCGGCUGCAGCUACUCAGCACUGUAAGCCUGUGAGAACAAACGCUCCUGGAACAAAGCCCACAUCUCUCAGUGCUGCAGUGUAUCUUAUCCUGAAUGUAUGCAGAAUACAGCUUUAUAAUCAUAUGCUCCAAAAAGCUGCACCAUACAGAGCUUUUGAAUCUGUAAUAAACCAAACCAUUUAGAGUGGGAGAACAGAUGAUCCACAGCAAUCCAAU